GUGCAGGUGGUGUUGCAGUAUUGGUUAAUCAGUGCAGGUGGUGUUGCAGUACUGGUUAAUCAGUGCAGGUGGUGUUGCAGUACUGGUUAAUCAGUGCAGGUGGUGCUGCAAUGCUGGUUAAUCAGUGCAGGUGGUGUUGCAGUAUUGGUUAAUCAGUGCAGGUGGUGUUGCAGUACUGGUUAAUCAGUGCAGGUGGUGUUGCAGUACUGGUUAAUCAGUGCAGGUGGUGCUGCAAUGCUGGUUAAUCAGUGCAGGUGGUGUUGCAGUAUUGGUUAAUCAGUGCAGGUGGUGUUGCAGUACUGGUUAAUCAGUGCAGGUGGUGUUGCAGUGCUGGUUAAUCAGUGCAGGUGGUGCUGCAAUGCUGGUUAAUCAGUGCAGGUGGUGUUGCAGUACUGGUUAAUCAGUGCAGGUGGUGCUGCAAUGCUGGUUAAUCAGUGCAGGUGGUGUUGCAGUACUGGUUAAUCAGUGCAGGUGGUGCUGCAAUGCUGGUUAAUCAGUGCAGGUGGUGUUGCAGUAUUGGUUAAUCAGUGCAGGUGGUGUUGCAGUGCUGGUUAAUCAGUGCAGGUGGUGCUGCAAUGCUGGUUAAUCAGUGCAGGUGGUGUUGCAGUAUUGGUUAAUCAGUGCAGGUGGUGUUGCAGUACUGGUUAAUCAGUGCAGGUGGUGUUGCAGUGCUGGUUAAUCAGUGCAGGUGGUGCUGCAAUGCUGGUUAAUCAGUGCAGGUGGUGUUGCAGUACUGGUUAAUCAGUGCAGGUGGUGUUGCAGUGCUGGUUAAUCAGUGCAGGUGGUGUUGCAGUGCUAGUUAAUCAGUGCAGGUGGUGUUGCAGUGCUAGUUAAUCAGUGCAGGUGGUGUUGCAGUGCUAGUUAAUCAGUGCAGGUGGUGUUGCAGUGCUAGUUAAUCAGUGCAGGUGGUGUUGCAGUGCUAGUUAAUCAGUAUGUAAAGUAGAGCCAGUAGAAUCUAGGUCUGCUGCUGAUUAAAUAUUAACUGGGCCUGGUGAUCCCUCCACCAUGGAGCUGAUCUUACUGUUGGGCUGGAUUAUUAGAAUGGGUUAGAGUUGGAGAUGGGUGUUGAGAGGAAAGGAGAGGUAUUUAAUGUGUGCUGGUGCGUGCUGGUGCGUCUGUGUGUCUGUCAUGGACUCAUAUCAGCAUUAUGGUGGUCUGUGGUGUUGGUGGUGUCAGGAGAUAGGACAGAGAUAGGACUGAGACAGGGCUAGAGAUGAGACCAUGCUGGGACCCUCCUGCAGAGGAUAUGUUUUCUGACAGUUACAGGCUGUGCUUGCAUGUGUGCGUGCAAGAGAGAGAAAGAUCUGCUGUGCUAGGGACAGCGAUCAGUGGAAGGCUAAUGACUUAUCCAACCUACACACACACACACACACACACACACACACACACACACACACACACACACACACACACACACACACACACACACACACACACACACACACACACACACACACACACACACACACACACACACACACAGAGACAGACAGACAGACAGACAGACAGACAGACAGACACACACAAGCUGCACGUGAAUUUAUUCUGAUAAUGGAUGCAUUUUUAAUACACCAUGAAUGUAAACACAUUAUUGUUGCCAGACCUACAACCUCUUAUAAAGUGCAAAUGGCAUUUGAGAAAACAACAUUACAUUCUUAUUACACUAAGUUAUGAUUGCUUGUCUCCCCACUCAGUUUAAUUGUAUAUGUUGCAAUGUACUGUAAAUGACCAGACUCUUUAAUAAAGAAUAACUGUUUUUCUCGA
Molecule: long non-coding RNA, 1764 nt
Organism: Oncorhynchus keta (chum salmon)
Lineage: Eukaryota; Metazoa; Chordata; Actinopteri; Salmoniformes; Salmonidae
Exons: 2
Source: RefSeq, a predicted model, not a curated record